Molecule: ribosomal RNA, 252 nt
Filed under: uncultured bacterium
Lineage: Bacteria
Description: partial 16S ribosomal RNA
Rfam family: Bacterial small subunit ribosomal RNA
Source: RNAcentral
UACGAGGGGGCUAGCGUUGUUCGGAAUUACUGGGCGUAAAGGGCGCGUAGGCGGCCUGUUAAGUCGAACGUGAAAUCCCCGGGCUCAACCCGGGAACUGCGUCCGAUACUGGUAGGCUUGAAUCCGGGAGAGGGAUGCGGAAUUCCAGGUGUAGCGGUGAAAUGCGUAGAUAUCAGGAGGAACACCAAUUGCGAAGGCAGCUUACUACACAACGAUUGACGCUGAGGCACGAAAGCGUGGGGAUCAAACAGG